Molecule: transfer RNA, 74 nt
Filed under: Klebsiella pneumoniae
Lineage: Bacteria; Pseudomonadati; Pseudomonadota; Gammaproteobacteria; Enterobacterales; Enterobacteriaceae
Description: tRNA-Thr
Rfam family: tRNA
About the family: Transfer RNA (tRNA) molecules are approximately 80 nucleotides in length. Their secondary structure includes four short double-helical elements and three loops (D, anti-codon, and T loops). Further hydrogen bonds mediate the characteristic L-shaped molecular structure. tRNAs have two regions of fundamental functional importance: the anti-codon, which is responsible for specific mRNA codon recognition, and the 3' end, to which the tRNAs corresponding amino acid is attached (by aminoacyl-tRNA synthetases). tRNAs cope with the degeneracy of the genetic code in two manners: having more than one tRNA (with a specific anti-codon) for a particular amino acid; and 'wobble' base-pairing, i.e. permitting non-standard base-pairing at the 3rd anti-codon position.
Source: RNAcentral
GCAUAUGGCUCAGUUGGUAGAGCGCACCCUUGGUAAGGGUGAGGUCCCCAGUUCGACUCUGGGUAUCAGCACCA